CAUAGUAUGUAAAUAUAUGUCCUCGCCUUAAAAAGCGUUGAUAAACUUAUACAACUUUCAACAACGGAUCUCUUGGCUCUCGCAUCGAUGAAGAACGCAGCGAAAUGCGAUAAGUAAUGUGAAUUGCAGAUUUUCAGUGAAUCAUCGAAUCUUUGAACGCACCUUGCGCUCCUUGGUAUUCCGAGGAGCAUGCCUGUUUGAGUGUCAUUAAAUUCUCAACUCUGAUCGAUUUGUUUCGACUUCGGAGCUUGGAUUUGGAGCGUGCUGGCGUCGGUCGGCUCCUCUUAAAUGCAUCAGCGGAAUCUAACGUUUCGGACGUCAGUGUGAUAAUCAUGUUGCGCUGUCUGUCUGAUCCGAAAGCCCGCUCACAAUGGUCUUCGGACAACUUCAUAUCAAAU
This 398-nucleotide ribosomal RNA is filed under the name uncultured Piloderma. RNAcentral describes it as "eukaryotic LSU rRNA". The stretch from base 53 to 207 matches the Rfam family "5.8S ribosomal RNA". The record is from RNAcentral. Lineage: Eukaryota; Fungi; Basidiomycota; Agaricomycetes; Atheliales; Atheliaceae.